This 333-nucleotide unclassified non-coding RNA is filed under the name soil metagenome. RNAcentral's name for it is "partial contains 5.8S ribosomal RNA, internal transcribed spacer 2, and large subunit ribosomal RNA". The stretch from base 1 to 119 matches the Rfam family "5.8S ribosomal RNA", at positions 35 to 154 of the family's 154-position model. The record is from RNAcentral.
GAUGAAGAACGUAGCGAAAUGCGAUAAGUAGUGUGAAUUGCAGAAUUCAGUGAAUCAUCGAAUCUUUGAACGCACAUUGCGCCCUUGGUAUUCCAUGGGGCAUGCCUGUUCGAGCGUCAUUUGUACCUUCAAGCUCUGCUUGGUGUUGGGUGAUUGUCUAUCUUUAUAGACUCGCCUUAAAGUCAUUGGCAGCCGGCAUAUUGGCCUGGGAGCGCAGCACAAGUCGCGCUUCUUGUCAUGAAUGUUGGCGUCCAGUAAGUCUACAUAUUUUGCUCUUGACCUCGGAUCAGGUAGGGAUACCCGCUGAACUUAAGCAUAUCAAUAAGCGGAGGA